RNAcentral lists this ribosomal RNA (250 nucleotides) under uncultured bacterium. Its description in RNAcentral is "partial 16S ribosomal RNA". It matches the Rfam family "Bacterial small subunit ribosomal RNA", at positions 524 to 773 of the family's 1533-position model. The record is from RNAcentral.
UACGGAGGGGGCGAGCGUUAUUCGGAAUUACUGGGCGUAAAGGGCGCGUAGGCGGCCUUGCAAGUCGAAGGUGAAAUCCCCGGGCUCAACCUGGGAACGGCCUUCGAUACUGCUCGGCUAGAGUCCGGGAGGGGGUAGCGGAAUUCCCAGUGUAGCGGUGAAAUGCGUAGAUAUUGGGAGGAACACCGGUGGCGAAGGCGGCUACCUGGACCGGUACUGACGCUGAGGCGCGAAAGCGUGGGGAGCAAAC